This is a ribosomal RNA of 375 nucleotides. It matches the Rfam family "Eukaryotic small subunit ribosomal RNA", at positions 582 to 975 of the family's 1831-position model.
AUUCCAGCUCCAAUAGCGUAUACUAAAGUUGUUGCAGUUAAAAAGCUCGUAGUUGAACUUCUGGCUAUAUGUUAAGCUGGCUUCGGUCGCUUAAGAUGUGGUCAUCCGCUAGGGAACUAUGUUCGAACUUCACUGUUCGGCAUAUGGAACUGGCAUUUUACUUAGAAAAAAUUAGAGUGUUCAAGGCAGGCUAUCGCCCUGAAUACACAAGCUUGGAAUAAUUAAAAAGGACUUUUUCCAUUUUAUUGGUUAUUGGAAAUAGUAAUGAUUAAUAGGGAUAGUUGGGGGCAUUAGUAUUUAUUAGUCAGAGGUGAAAUUCUUGGAUUUAAUAAAGACUAACUUAUGCGAAAGCAUUUGCCAAGGAUGUUUUCAUCA